UGAUCAUCACAUUAAAAGGGAAUCAGGUUAAACACCUGAGCUGUUCCCGCAACUGUAAGCUUAUCUCAAAAAGAGAGGUUGUUGUUAAACUUCAUGCCACUGUGGUAACACGGGAAGGUAAACAACAGUACGCAAGCCAGGAGACCUGCCUUUAGUAUA
RNAcentral lists this non-coding RNA (159 nucleotides) under uncultured Flavobacterium sp. Lineage: Bacteria; Pseudomonadati; Bacteroidota; Flavobacteriia; Flavobacteriales; Flavobacteriaceae. The record is from RNAcentral.